GUCCCUGUAGCGCUGUGGAUAGCGCGUUGGCCUUGUAAUCCAAAGGUCCCGGAUUCGAAUACCGGCAGGUAUG
Non-coding RNA from Araneus ventricosus, 73 nucleotides. The record is from the annotation of a GenBank genome assembly. Lineage: Eukaryota; Metazoa; Arthropoda; Arachnida; Araneae; Araneidae.